This is a long non-coding RNA of Rhagoletis zephyria (snowberry fruit fly), 176 nucleotides long. RefSeq lists it as uncharacterized. The record is from RefSeq and is a predicted model, not a curated record. Lineage: Eukaryota; Metazoa; Arthropoda; Insecta; Diptera; Tephritidae.
AUUUCUGGCUACUAUAUUUCAGGACGAAUGGAUAAGGAACGAGCCAAGAGCUUGUGUGAGCAAAUCCAAUUUUUGACAGCCAAUGUCACUUACGCGGCUUUGCAGAAUGACGAUACGCGGUUUUGUACUUUAAACGACGAUAUCGAAAUAUACACAUAUGUAGGUAUGUAUGUACA